UAUUCUCAACCUAGCAAAGCUUGCUUUGCUAGGCUUGGAUGUGAGGGCUUUGCUGGCUUCCAUUGAGUUGGAUGGUCUGCUCCCUUCAAAUUCAUUAGUGGGAUCCUUUGUGGAUGGUCACUUGGUGUGAUAAUUAUCUACGCCGCCUGACUGAAGCAAGACUUGUGGGAACCUGCUUAUAACUGUCCUCUCGGGGACUAUCUUGACUU
Molecule: unclassified non-coding RNA, 209 nt
Filed under: uncultured Mycena
Lineage: Eukaryota; Fungi; Basidiomycota; Agaricomycetes; Agaricales; Tricholomataceae
Description: sequence contains ITS2
Source: RNAcentral